CAGGUCCGCCAUUCAGCUCCACUACCAAAGUUAAAUAUAUCCCGACAUAUUUCUGAGAAGAAAGGUGUCCCUUCUCUUUUUUUGGCGUGGUCCUUCUCGAAAGGACCCAAACCACGCCGUCCUCCAUUUAUAAUGCGAUGCACAUCGGUUUCUUUCCUCAUUACGAUUCCAACCUCUCUCCAGUGAAGAACUUUACUGGAGAGUGGGGUGGAAAGUUGGGCGUCAUUUUGUGUCUUUGGAAAUUUGGAGAGGAAAUGGAAAGAUAAGGAGUUACUUUAUAUGAAAAUCUACUAUGCCCCAAUUACGUAGGUGCGUCAUCUACAUCCACCUAAAUUCUGGAACCUUCUCUGUAUAAAAUGUGCUGUAAAACUUUACGACUUUAUUUCCUCGAGAAAAUUCACCAUCUUCUAACUACAUAAUUGCGUCAUCUACAACCUCCUAAAUUCUGGGUCCUCCCGUGUGCCAAAUUUACUACACAACUUCGCAACGAUUUUAUAUCUGAGAGAUUCCAUGGAACCCUCAAAUCCAUCAGGCCCCCUCUCCCCUCGUGGAAAUUCUGUAAUCAGCGGACUCCAAAUUAUGUGACACGUCUCAUCAUUUCAAACGACGCCCAAGGUUGUGGACCACCCUGCACUCAAGACUUCACUCCAUAAUUACGUAUGUACAUAUCUUCACCGUAAUCAAGUUCCUGAUGCGACAAGUAAUAUCUUAUCUUCUAAAUAUUUGGGGGUACGUUAUCCAGUUCAAAAGUGGUAAUAUGUAGGUAUUUCUUUACCCUAAAAAAUGGCACGAAACUGCUCUAAAAUUUCGGGUAUCCUAAUUUUUCUCAAGUUCUAUACAUCCUUUUAGUUAAAUUAUGUCUCAAGAUAGUCAAAAUUCGUCCGUAAUUUCUGUAAACUUGUUAGGUUUUAAUUUUUGAACUAUUUUUGCUAAUUCUCUAACAUGUUACAUAAGUACAUGUUAAUGCUUAGGAAAAACACAGAUCCUUCAAAAUUUUUAUCGCGAUCUGAAUCAAACAAUGUUUGCAUCUUAGGCGAGGAAUGAUAGCAAAUCAAUUAAUUUAUGAAAUUGCCUAUACUUAACGAAGAAUUUGUAGAAUUACAAAUCAGUGCAUUUUGUCUUUAAAAAAAACGAAACAUAAUUCAAGGAACGGAGCAUAACGCGUAAACUUUCCAGUUGAAAAAAUAAUUUUACUCUCCAUAUAAACACUGUAACGUAUUCACGUGAAACUUUGUAAUCCGUUCACGUGAAUUAAUAUCCAUACUCGAAAAAUAUUACUAGGGCAGGUUUAGCAUUUGAUAAUCUUGAAACAUUAGAAAAAUACGUGUAGGCCAAUUUAUUCGACAGAAAUGUACUUUGUUGAAUAAGCUCAAAUUUAAUAUUAUUUACAAGCAGUUUUAUAUAAAUGCAUCAUUAAGUCCGGUUAAGUACAGGUCAGUCAUUCAUUUCGACCGAUUGUCUAAACUUCGAGGGAACUUUAACGUGAUACAGUAAUUCAUUGUCAGUUUUGUUGUAUUAAGACAAAUGUGUGCCCAAAGAUAGAUACAAAAUCCAUAAAAUAUGAAUUAUAGACCGAAAAAUUUUCAGAAAAUUUAUGAAAAAUUACAACAUAUAAACUUGAUCUUAUAACAUUUCACAUAUAAAUUACGCUAUUUUGCCUCGUUUCUUAUAGUUUCAAACCAAUCAAUUAUUAUCCUUACUCUGAAAGAAAUAUCUUAUUUCCAUUAUACAAAAUAUGAUUACAAAAAUGUCAGAAAUGUUGAAAUUUGUACUUCAGCGUUCUAUCCACACUUAAAAAUGCAGCCCAGUAAAAAAUAAUUAUGAUAGGUGGUAGGUCUAAAUUCAUAAGCAAGUUCAAUGAACCGGUCCUUACCCCCGAGGAAAUUGUAUGUGGGGAACAGGGGAAUUUUUAAUUUUUAAUUUAUUCAAAAAUUUGAAACCUGUAAUAUACGGGAACAAAUUUUAUUCGUAAUACUGACAUCUUUUGAUCGAUACGUGUAUAGCGUACUAUACGACGAUUCAAAACCGCUCGGCAAAUACAGUACAUUUGUCACGUAAUAAGUUUGGAAAUAUAAAUUAAAUUUUUUCAGAACCUUAAAAUAUGGAGAUUAGCAUAAUGAAUAGGUUAAAGUCGUGAUAAGAUUCAAUACACAACCUCUUUAACUGUAGCCUUCAGGUAUACACCCAUAUUUUGUAUAUUCUAAUAGACUUGUACUCAUUGAAAAGUAUAGUGCACUCAUUUAUUUAUCGAGGUAUAGAUAAAUAAAUACGCUAAAAACAUAACACGACAAGGAGCGGAUAUCCCAAAUUAGAUUAUCAUAAUGAACAGGUGCCAUAUCAUGAUAAGAUUCAAUACAUAACCCUUUAACUGUUUGGGACAGAAUAGAACCUACAUUAUUACCCUAAUUAUGUAGAAAUUUCAUGUUUUAUACAAUCCAACAUAUCUGAUUGAAGAAAUACCUACUUUAUUUAUCGAGGUAUGGAUAAAUAAACUCACAAAAUACAUAACGCGAUAAUAAGCGGAUAUCUCAAAUUAGAUUAGUACAAGAUUAUCAUAAUGAACAGGUGCCAUGUCAUGAUAAGAUUCAAUACAUAACCCAAUAACUGUUUCAAACAGAAUGAAACCUACAUAAUUACUCCAACUAUGUAGAAAUUUCACGUUUUAUUUAAUCCAACUGACUUGAGUACUACUUGUUGGACGAAGUUUGGCACUUGUUUAUCGAGGUAUGGAUAAAUAAAUCCACAAAAUACAUAAUACAAUAAGAAGCGGAUAUCCCAAAUUAGAUUAGUACAAGAAUCAAAUAAUGAAUGAACAGGUUUAAUGUCAUAAUAAGAUUCAAUACAUAACCCUUUAACUGUUUGGGACAGAAUUGAAUCAACAUAAUUACCCAAAUUAUGUAGAAAUUUCACGUUUUAUCCAAUCCAACAUACUCGAGUACUAAAUACUUGUUGGAGAAAUUUUUACACUUAUUUAUCGCGGUAUGGAUAAAUAAAUCCACCAAAUAUAUAAAUACGUUAAGAAGCAGAUAUCUCCAAAUCAAAUUAGAUUAGCAUAAUGAACAGGUGCUAUGUCAUGAUAAGAUUUAAAACACAAUCUCUCUAGCUGAGCUUUCUCUUGCAAACUUAUCCAAUUACUUAUUCAUGUAAUUCUUAAGUUAAAAAAAUUCUAUAUGUUGUAUUUCUUAUGAUAGACUCAAAUAAUUUUUAAUCAAUUUUUUUGUAAAAAAAUAUUUAAAUUAAAUUAUCGUGGUACGGAUAAAUCAAUUCACAAAUUAUAAAACACAAUACGAAGCAGACAAAUCAAAUUGGAUGUUUCAAAUAACUGUAAAUAGGAGCCACGUGCUUGUACAUAACUGAUCCUGAGAAGUCGCUUACUUUUUUGUUUAUCUUAUAUUAUCCUGGAUCGUAAAUUUUGAAACCAGAUUCAAUCGCAACUAUAUAAAUUACUUACUUACUCUCCCAUUUAUGUAAAAUGGGACUGUAUUUUUAGAAUUAUGAAACUACAUAAUAUAAUUUUUAAGAUUGUUAGGUUGCCUAUUUCUUGCAACGUCAGUACAAUGGUUCACGAUGUAAAAAUUUUUAUAUCAAAUACAUUGAGCUUAGUGUUUGAUAGUCGCGCGGGGUGAAAACAAUUAGUGUGAAAAACUGCACACUAAAUAAUAUUUGAAGAAAAUUACUCUAACUUUCAACUGUUUUCAUUAAAACUUCUCACGUUUCUCUAUACCCUUCCGCCACUUUGUUACAUACGUUGUUUGCGUAUUUCACUCCCUGCAGGUUUUUUAUACUCAUAUUGGCCCUGGUAAUCAGCCAAUUGUGUAAAUUAAAUGACAUAUGUAUUUAGCAGACAUGAAACAUUGACGAAACGUAUUUCUGCAUAGGUUUGCACUCAAUGUACUAAAACUGCGUUAAGUUUUCGAUUCAGUCUCUCUGAUCAAUUUAUUUUCAAUUCCGAAGUAAACAUUUUGGUAUUGGUAAUUUACAAAAUGUGUAAAUUUAAUGCCAAACACACAUUCGAAAGGAGACAUUGAUUUAAAGCGAUAGGUUUACAAUUAAUAUACUAAAACUGCGUUAAGUUUUCGAUUCAGCCUCUCCGAUUAGAUUUUCAUUAAAUAAACAAACUUCACGCACAUAUUGGUGUUGGUAAUCUGCCAAAUGUGUUAGUCAAAACACAGAAACAUAUUCUUUCAGAAAUGAAACAUUUUAUCAAACGAACAGGUUUGAAAUCCAUAUACUAAAACUGCGUUAAGUUUUCGAUUCAGCCGCUAUGCUUAUUAUCAUUUUAUCAAAAACUUCUUAUGCAUAAAUUGGUAUUGGUAAUCUGCCAAUUGUGAAAAUUAAAUGGAAAAAUCAGAAAUGAAACAUUUUAUCAAACGGAUAGGUUUGAAAUCCAGAUACUAAAACUGCGUUAAGUUUUCGAUUCAGUCGCUACGAAUAGUUUGUUUUCUUUCCAUAAACAAACUUAAAGAUUUUUAAGGGACAUAUUGGUACUUGUAAUCUGCCAAUUGUGUUAAUUUAAUGAAAAAUACCUACAUACCUAUAAGAAAUUAAAUCACAUUGAUCCGAUGCAUACAUAGGUUUGCAAUGCAUGUACUAAAACUGCGUUAAGUUUUCGAUUCAGUCUUCUUCGUUGAGAUUGUACACUGUUACAACUUGAUAAUCUGACUUACAUACUUUUCAUUUAAGUGAAAGUAAGAAUAAAUAAUAUACAUACAUACAUAAACCUCUUGCAACACGAAGGUAUUGUGCGCAAUGAGAACAAUUUAUUACGUAAAUUAUACUUUUGCAGAUAUAAAAAUACACGAAAAAACGUUUUUACUUCAUUUUGCAUUUAUGAAAAACAAAAUUUAGGAUUCAUAAGAUCUUUCUAACACGUCAGAUAUGUAUCACGGUUUUCUCUCUGGCAGAUGAUUCUGCAUAAAAAUAUAUACACGUGGUUAAUUUAUGCAUAAAUACUUAUUCCUAAAUACGUAAUCAUUAAUUUUUCAAUGUAGUAAAUAACCUAAUUUCAUAUUUUGAAGCGAGAUCUGUUAAGCUUGGUAGACAAUUUCUUGCAUAUUUAUUGUGCACGACAAAUGUAAACUGAAAAGCAUUAAUUGGUUGACAGCUUUGAAAAAUAAUUAGCUAGUGGUUUCUGUAAUUUCGUCCUAAAUUUAAAAUGUAAUUAAAUUGACCUCAUACUUAACUUGAAACCGGAGCUGUCAAGUAACAAAAGUCCACAGUUGUGAUCUAUAUGGUUUGCAGAGGUUUGAUAAAUAUUUCCCAGAAUGGUUUAAACAUUUUUUCUGAUUUUAAUAAGGUAAUGAAUUACUUUUCAAAUGAUUGAUUAUUGUAAAAUUUUUUAACAACAUCGGGCCGAAGUAUGGUAAAGAAUUUUUUGUAAGGCAUUUUUUAAUGGGGAGUGAACUGUGCUGAUUUUUAAAAAACUGUGCUGCAAAAAAAUGUAUGAAUUUAUAUGUAACCGUGUUAAUUUAUAGUCUUUGUUUAAUACGAUAAGAAUAAAAAUUGUUAUAUAAAUUAGUCAAUUAUAAACUUAUAUUUCGAACAAUACUUUGUCGAUAAAUACUUAUGUGAAAUAAAGGAAUAGUGUUACAUUGUA
Long non-coding RNA from Folsomia candida, 5596 nucleotides. RefSeq lists it as uncharacterized. The transcript has 4 exons. The record is from RefSeq and is a predicted model, not a curated record. NCBI's taxonomy places the organism in Eukaryota, Metazoa, Arthropoda, Collembola, Entomobryomorpha, Isotomidae.